Molecule: non-coding RNA, 501 nt
Organism: Hippopotamus amphibius kiboko
Lineage: Eukaryota; Metazoa; Chordata; Mammalia; Artiodactyla; Hippopotamidae
Source: the annotation of a RefSeq genome assembly
GGCGUGAAUCUCCUCUGCAAGAAGAUGAAUCCACUGUGGUUCUUCCUCUUUCUGCUGUCAGCUCCCAGAGGUGUCCUGUCGCAGGUGCAGCUGCAGGAGUCGGGGCCCAUCCUGGCGAAGCCCUCGCAGACCCUCUCCCUCACCUGCACGGUCUCCGGAUUCUCAUUAACCAGCAAUGCUGUAAGCUGGGUCCGCCAGGCUCCAGGAAAGGGGCUGGAGUGGCUUGGUGUGAUGGUUAGUGGUGGAAGCGCAUAUUAUAACUCAGCCCUGAAGUCCCGGCUCAGCAUCACCAGGGACACCUCCAAGAGCCAAGUCUCCAUGUCACUGAGCAGCGUGACCCCCGAGGACACGGCCGUCUAUUACUGUGCAAGAGGCACAGUGAUGGGAAGUCCGCGUGUCAAAUGUGAGGAGCAGCUGGUGGACUCUGGCGGAGGCUUUGUGCAGCCCGCGGUGGGGGUCUCUGAGAACCUCCUGUGCAGCUUCUGGAUUCACCUUUGCUGA